RNAcentral lists this ribosomal RNA (483 nucleotides) under uncultured bacterium. RNAcentral's name for it is "bacterial SSU rRNA". It matches the Rfam family "Bacterial small subunit ribosomal RNA", at positions 501 to 986 of the family's 1533-position model. The record is from RNAcentral.
CUACGUGCCAGCAGCCGCGGUAAUACGGAGGAUGCGAGCGUUAUCCGGAUUUAUUGGGUUUAAAGGGUGCGUAGGCGGCCUGUUAAGUCAGCGGUGAAAUCUAGGAGCUUAACUCCUAAAUUGCCAUUGAUACUGGUGGGCUUGAGUGUAGAUGAGGUAGGCGGAAUGCGUGGUGUAGCGGUGAAAUGCUUAGAUAUCACGAAGAACUCCGAUCGCGAAGGCAGGUGUCCGGGCUGCAACUGACGCUGAGGCUCGAAAGUGUGGGUAUCAAACAGGAUUAGAUACCCUGGUAGUCCACACAGUAAACGAUGUAUACUCGCGGUUUGCGAUAGACAGUAAGCCGCCAAGCGAAAGCAUUAAGUAUACCACCUGGGGAGUACGCCGGCAACGGUGAAACUCAAAGGAAUUGACGGGGGCCCGCACAAGCGGAGGAACAUGUGGUUUAAUUCGAUGAUACGCGAGGAACCUUACCCGGGCUUGAAC